This 71-nucleotide transfer RNA is filed under the name Camelus bactrianus (Bactrian camel). It matches the Rfam family "tRNA". From Rfam's summary of the family: Transfer RNA (tRNA) molecules are approximately 80 nucleotides in length. The record is from Rfam by way of RNAcentral. RNAcentral also lists the same sequence under 2 other names. Lineage: Eukaryota; Metazoa; Chordata; Mammalia; Artiodactyla; Camelidae.
GAGGCUAUAGCUCAGUGGUAGAGCGCCUGCUUAGCAUGCAGGAGGUCCUGGGGAUUGAACCCAGGACCUCC